RNAcentral lists this ribosomal RNA (309 nucleotides) under uncultured bacterium. Its description in RNAcentral is "bacterial SSU rRNA". It matches the Rfam family "Bacterial small subunit ribosomal RNA", at positions 28 to 326 of the family's 1533-position model. The record is from RNAcentral.
GACGAACGCUGGCGGCGUGCCUAAUACAUGCAAGUCGAGCGAUGAAGGAGAUACUUGUAUCUUUUGAAGAGCGGCGAACGGGUGAGUAACGCGUGGGGAAUCUGCCAAUGAGUGGGGGACAACAUUUGGAAACGAAUGCUAAUACCGCAUAAAAUCUAUUGAGACAUCUCAAGAGAUUGAAAGGAACAAUUGUUUCGCUCGUUGAUGAUCCCGCGUUGUAUUAGCUAGUUGGUGAGGUAACGGCUCACCAAGGCGAUGAUACAUAGCCGACCUGAGAGGGUGAUUCACGCCACACGUGGCACGUAGGAA